UGGCUCUCGCAUCGAUGAAGAACGCAGCAAAGCGCGAAAUGUAAUGUGAAUUGCAGAAUUCAGUGAAUCAUCGAAUCUUUGAACGCACCUUGCGCUCUAGGGUCAUUCCUUAGAGCAUGCUUGUUUGAGUGUCUCGUACCUCUCAAUCCCACCUUGAAAAAGGUUGUUAGGAUUGGAUCAUGACGGUUUGCCUUUCUUUAGGCUCCGUUUAAAUACAACGAGCUGUAUCUUUGACGUUGGCGGCUUGACCUGUUGUUGUAACUUAAAACUCAAUAGGGACGCUCGUCGGAAUGAGCUUACCAAAAAUAUCUUUGACACUUUGACCUCAAAUCAAGUAGGACUACCCGCUGA
RNAcentral lists this unclassified non-coding RNA (351 nucleotides) under uncultured fungus. RNAcentral describes it as "partial contains 5.8S ribosomal RNA and internal transcribed spacer 2". The stretch from base 1 to 134 matches the Rfam family "5.8S ribosomal RNA", at positions 22 to 154 of the family's 154-position model. The record is from RNAcentral. Lineage: Eukaryota; Fungi.